RNAcentral lists this unclassified non-coding RNA (393 nucleotides) under Triticum aestivum (bread wheat). Its description in RNAcentral is "partial contains internal transcribed spacer 1, 5.8S ribosomal RNA, and internal transcribed spacer 2". The stretch from base 65 to 220 matches the Rfam family "5.8S ribosomal RNA". Lineage: Eukaryota; Viridiplantae; Streptophyta; Magnoliopsida; Poales; Poaceae. The record is from RNAcentral.
CUAACCCGGGGGCAUGGCUAGCUUGCUAGCCGUCCCUUGUGUUGCAAAGCUAUUUAAUCCACACGACUCUCGGCAACGGAUAUCUCGGCUCUCGCAUCGAUGAAGAACGUAGCGAAAUGCGAUACCUGGUGUGAAUUGCAGAAUCCCGCGAACCAUCGAGUCUUUGAACGCAAGUUGCGCCCAAGGCCAUUCGGCCGAGGGCACGCCUGCCUGGGCGUCACGCCAAAACACGCUCCCAACCACCCUCAUCGGGAAUCGGGACGCGGCAUCUGGUCCCUCGUCUCGCAAGGGGCGGUGGACCGAAGAUCGGGCUGCCGGUGUACCGCGCCGGACACAGCGCAUGGUGGGCGUCCUCGCUUUAUCAACGCAGUGCAUCCGACGCGCAGCCGACAU